RNAcentral lists this ribosomal RNA (607 nucleotides) under uncultured Chloroflexus sp. RNAcentral describes it as "bacterial SSU rRNA". It matches the Rfam family "Bacterial small subunit ribosomal RNA", at positions 151 to 772 of the family's 1533-position model. The record is from RNAcentral. Lineage: Bacteria; Bacillati; Chloroflexota; Chloroflexia; Chloroflexales; Chloroflexaceae.
CCGAAAGGUUUGCUAAUACCGCAUGUUCUGGUAGAGGGAUAGAGACCUACCAGCAAAGGGAGAAAUCCGCUUUGGGAGGGGCCUGCGUCCCAUCAGCUAGUUGGUAAGGUAACGGCUUACCAAGGCGACGACGGGUAGGGGACCUGAGAGGGUGGCCCCCCACAAUGGAACUGAAACACGGUCCAUACACCUACGGGUGGCAGCAGUAGGGAAUAUUGGUCAAUGGGCGAAAGCCUGAACCAGCAACGCCGCGUGUGCGAUGAAGGCCUUCGGGUCGUAAAGCACUUUUCUGGGAGAUGAGAAAGGACAGUAUCCCAGGAAUAAGUCUCGGCUAACUACGUGCCAGCAGCCGCGGUAAAACGUAGGAGGCGAGCGUUAUCCGGAUUCACUGGGCGUAAAGCGCGUGCAGGUGGCUUGGUAAGUUAGGCGUGAAAUCUCCCGGCUCAACUGGGAGAGGUCGUCUAAUACUACCGGGCUUGAGAGCAGAAGAGGAAGAUGGAAUUCCCGGUGUAGUGGUGAAAUGCGUAGAUAUCGGGAGGAACACCAGUGGCGAAGGCGAUCUUCUGGUCUGUUUCUGACACUCAGACGCGACAGCUAGGGUAGUAAA